Molecule: ribosomal RNA, 283 nt
Filed under: uncultured bacterium
Lineage: Bacteria
Description: partial 16S ribosomal RNA
Rfam family: Bacterial small subunit ribosomal RNA
Source: RNAcentral
UCGACCUACGGGGGGCAGCAGUGGGGAAUAUUGCACAAUGGGGGAAACCCUGAUGCAGCGACGCCGCGUGAGUGAUGAAGUAUUUCGGAAUGUAAAGCUCUAUCAGCAGGGAAGAUAAUGACGGUACCUGACUAAGAAGCUCCGGCUAAAUACGUGCCAGCAACCGCGGUAAUACGUAUGGAGCAAGCGUUAUCCGGAUUUACUGGGUGUAAAGGGAGCGCAGACGGCAGGGCAAGACUGAUGUGAAAGUCCGGGGCUCAACCCCGGGACUGCAUUGGCAACU